UUUGAUGUGGCAUGCAAGAGUCCUGCUAUGAGGCAUUACAAAGUUGGGAGGUAUGCCUUGGGUGACCUAGAGUUCUGAAGUGCCAUAUUGGGCCAUCAUCCUCAUUGCUUUGUCCGCCGUACUUGCUCUGGGGUUGCUGAUGGGUUUAUUAUUUGGGAUUGCAGGCUGUGUUCGUUUCUCAACCCCAGCUUUCAGUGGUACCAGGUACCCGAGCUACAUUACACGCUAUUUAUGGAGAAAUUCUGCAGAUCAACACAUGGACCCAGAGUUUGGAGCACAAAGUGAUAGAGAACAUGUCCAAACUCUGUCCCAACGAGAUCAACAUGAACUGAGCUCUAGACAGCAGUACGGAAAGAAUCCAACCAAUUAGCCUGACCUGCUGUCGACACGGAAAUUGUGAUCUCUCUGUUAAAACUAAUCCACAAUUUUCAGUCCCCGGUAUGCAUUUAAACUGAAAUGAAUUUUACCACUACACAAUCCCAGUUAAGCACGCAUUUCUUUCUAAUCUCUUAAUUGUUUGUUAUUUGCUUUUUUUGCUGAUGAAUUAAAUCCUUAAAUAUGCAUUAGGAAGAAAAAAGUUACAUGACAUACUGUUGUCUCAGUCUAUUGUGCCUAGCGUAAAUCCAUUAGUGAGUAAUAAUAAUGCAUUUAGCAGUAAUUCUGUACUGUAGAUGUUUACAUUGGGUGUCCUGCGUAAUACAGUAUUACCGUCUCGCCAUUAGAACCUGGAAACACCAAUACCUAUGAUAUUAUUGUGACAGAGAGGCAGAUGUAUUAAGCUGGAGAAGGCAUGAGG
Molecule: long non-coding RNA, 796 nt
Organism: Pseudophryne corroboree (corroboree frog)
Lineage: Eukaryota; Metazoa; Chordata; Amphibia; Anura; Myobatrachidae
Exons: 3
Source: RefSeq, a predicted model, not a curated record